AGCAGCCGCGGUAAUUCCAGCUCCAAUAGCGUAUAUUAAAGUUGUUGCAGUUAAAAAGCUCGUAGUUGAAUUUCGGGGUCAGUAGGUUGGUUAUGCCACUGGUAUGUACUGGCCUCACUGAUUCCUCCUUCCUGAUGAGCCGUAAUGCCAUUAAUUUGGUGUUGCGAGGAAUCUGGACUGUUACUUUGAAAAAUUAGAGUGUUUAAAGCAGGCUAACGCUUGAAUACAUUAGCAUGGAAUAAUGAAAUAGGACGUUCGAUCUUAUUUUGUUGGUUUCUAAGAUUGACGUAAUGAUUAAUAGGGAUAGUUGGGGGCAUUAGUAUUCAAUUGUCAGAGGUGAAAUUCUUGGAUUUAUUGAAGACUAACUACUGCGAAAGCAUUUGCCAAGGAUGUUUUCAUUAAUCAAGAACGAAAGUUAGGGGAUCGAAGACGAUCAGAUACCGUCGUAGUCUUAACCAUAAACUAUGCCGGCUAGGGAUCGGAUGAUGUUAAUUUUUUAAUGUACCCA
Molecule: ribosomal RNA, 508 nt
Filed under: uncultured Glomeraceae
Lineage: Eukaryota; Fungi; Glomeromycota; Glomeromycetes; Glomerales; Glomeraceae
Description: SSU rRNA
Rfam family: Eukaryotic small subunit ribosomal RNA
Source: RNAcentral